ACAUGCAGUCGAGCGGACAGAUGGGAGCUUGCUCCCUGAUGUUAGCGGCGGACGGGUGAGUAACACGUGGGUAACCUGCCUGUAAGACUGGGAUAACUCCGGGAAACCGGGGCUAAUACCGGAUGGUUGUUUGAACCGCAUGGUUCAAACAUAAAAGGUGGCUUCGGCUACCACUUACAGAUGGACCCGCGGCGCAUUAGCUAGUUGGUGAGGUAAUGGCUCACCAAGGCAACGAUGCGUAGCCGACCUGAGAGGGUGAUCGGCCACACUGGGACUGAGACACGGCCCAGACUCCUACGGGAGGCAGCAGUAGGGAAUCUUCCGCAAUGGACGAAAGUCUGACGGAGCAACGCCGCGUGAGUGAUGAAGGUUUUCGGAUCGUAAAGCUCUGUUGUUAGGGAAGAACAAGUACCGUUCGAAUAGGGCGGUACCUUGGAGGGUACCUAACCAGAAAGGCCACGGCUAACUACGUGCCAGCAGCCGCGGUAAUACGUAGGUGGCAAGCGUUGUCCGGAUUAUUGGGCGUAAAGGCUCGCAGCCGGUUCCUUAGUCCGGAGUGGAAACCCCCCGGCCCCCGGCUCAACCGGGGAGGGUCAUUGGAAACUGGGGAACUUGAGUGCAGAAGAGGAGAGUGGAAUUCCACGUGUAGCGGUGAAAUGCGUAGAGAUGUGGAGGAACACCAGUGGCGAAGCGACUCUCUGGUCUGUAACUGACGCUGAGGAGCGAAGCGUGGGGGAGCGAACAGGAUUAGAUACCCUGGUAGUCCACGCCGUAAACGAUGAGUGCUAAGUGUUAGGGGUUUCCGCCCCUUAGUGCUGCAGCUAACGCAUUAAGCACUCCGCCUGGGGAGUACGGUCGCAAGACUGAAACUCAAAGGAAUUGACGGGGGCCCGCACAAGCGGUGAGCAUGUGGUUUAAUUCGAAGCAACGCGAAGAACUUACCAGGUCUUGACAUCCUCUGACAUCCUAGAGAUAGGACGUCCCCUUCGG
This 990-nucleotide ribosomal RNA is filed under the name Bacillus tequilensis. RNAcentral's name for it is "bacterial SSU rRNA". It matches the Rfam family "Bacterial small subunit ribosomal RNA", at positions 53 to 1023 of the family's 1533-position model. Lineage: Bacteria; Bacillati; Bacillota; Bacilli; Caryophanales; Bacillaceae. The record is from RNAcentral.